UCGUAGUACAGCAAAAUCCAUUCCACUCCAAACCUUUCCAACACGAAAAAUAAUCACGCAAUUCUUCUUCUUCUGCUGCUGCUGCUGCUGCUUAUAAUUUAGCCCCUUCUUCUAUCCCAAAUCGGAGUGGAGGGAGGCAAGCGAAAGAUUCACAUUACCGACGAUCUCGACGACGUCGUUGACGAUGAAGAGGAUGAAGCCUGGAAAGAAUGGGGUCAAAAGAAAUCUUCCGAUGAAUUCGAUCCCCCACCUGAUUUCGACAACAUGGACCUUUCCCAGAUUCUGGAAGAAAUCACGAAGCGCCAGACGGGCCCUGCUUUUGGCUUCGUUAAGCUCCCGCUUAGGGAUUCCUCGAGAUAAGCUUUUUUUUUAACGAUUUCUUUCUAUUUCUUUGAUUGAGUAAUUAAUGUUGAAUUGGGAAAUUUUGGUUUCAGAACUCGGUAGCUGAAUUACCUGUGAAAUGGACCCAACUCCUGAGAACGGGAGCUCUCGGGGUGAAAUUCAUGGGCAUCGAUCUAGGCACAAUUAUGUUCAACGUGGAAGAUGGGCACAAAGUAUUAGAGUUGAAGGAAUUCAUAUUGAGUCAUUAUGAGGCGUACGAGAUAAAGAUUGGGGAUCAAGUUUUCAGAAGACCCCGAGAUCCGCCGAUGGAGAUGGUGGCUGAGAAACUCCGGCAAUCGAAGAGCAAGGAAGAGAUUGAUGAGCAUGUGAAAGAACUGUAAUUGGCUGGAAAUUCAAGGUUCUUCCUUUUGAUCUAUACUCGAGGCUCUUCCUCCCAACAAGAAUCUUUUUAAGAUACAAAUCUAUCUUGAAAAUAUUGAUAUAUGAAGGCGUUAUACUUCAACUUU
This is a long non-coding RNA of Hibiscus syriacus, 848 nucleotides long. RefSeq lists it as uncharacterized. Lineage: Eukaryota; Viridiplantae; Streptophyta; Magnoliopsida; Malvales; Malvaceae. The record is from RefSeq and is a predicted model, not a curated record. The transcript has 2 exons.